This 253-nucleotide ribosomal RNA is filed under the name uncultured bacterium. RNAcentral's name for it is "partial 16S ribosomal RNA". It matches the Rfam family "Bacterial small subunit ribosomal RNA", at positions 524 to 776 of the family's 1533-position model. The record is from RNAcentral.
GACAGAGGUGCCAAGCGUUAGGCGGAAUCACUGGGCUUAAAGCGUGUGUAGGCGGAAUGGUAAGUACCUUGUGAAAUCCCUCGGCUUAACCGGGGAACUGCGUCCGAUACUGGAUGGCUUGAGUUUGGGAGAGGGACGCGGAAUUCCAGGUGUAGCGGUGAAAUGCGUAGAUAUCUGGAGGAACACCGGUGGCGAAGGCGGCGUCCUGGACCAACACUGACACUGAGGAGCGAAAGCCAGGGGAGCAAACGGG